RNAcentral lists this ribosomal RNA (497 nucleotides) under uncultured bacterium. RNAcentral describes it as "partial 16S ribosomal RNA". It matches the Rfam family "Bacterial small subunit ribosomal RNA", at positions 28 to 507 of the family's 1533-position model. The record is from RNAcentral.
GAUGAACGCUGGCGGCGUGCCUAAUACAUGCAAGUCGAGCGAACAGACGAGGAGCUUGCUCCUCUGACGUUAGCGGCGGACGGGUGAGUAACACGUGGAUAACCUACCUAUAAGACUGGGAUAACUUCGGGAAACCGGAGCUAAUACCGGAUAAUAUAUUGAACCGCAUGGUUCAAUAGUGAAAGACGGUUUUGCUGUCACUUAUAGAUGGAUCCGCGCCGCAUUAGCUAGUUGGUAAGGUAACGGCUUACCAAGGCAACGAUGCGUAGCCGACCUGAGAGGGUGAUCGGCCACACUGGAACUGAGACACGGUCCAGACUCCUACGGGAGGCAGCAGUAGGGAAUCUUCCGCAAUGGUCGAAAGCCUGACGGAGCAACGCCGCGUGAGUGAUGAAGGUCUUCUGAUCGUAAAACUCUGUUAUUAGGGAAGAACAAAUGUGUAAGUAACUAUGCACGUCUUGACGGUACCUAAUCAGAAAGCCACGGCUAACUACGUG